UAGAGCCUGUACACUCUGAGAAGUGCACAGCGGACUCCAGCUGCUUGUUAGAGUAAUGACACCUUUGUUUUGUGGCUCAGAAAAAUGGAAAGGUGGGGGGAAAAGACAACAUUCACUUUCUCCUGAAUAAAGAACUGAGUUGCAGGAACUGCUAUUAAGCUAUGAGUGCAUCUGCAGUCCUGUACAUGCAGAGUUGUCGGGAUGAGGAAGAAAACCAAGAGGAUGUCUACAAAGCAGCACUGACUGAAAACUGGAUUUUUAUACUACUGAUGGGCACAUGGAAGAUCCUCAGAAAUAAACCAGGCUAAAAAUCCACGCCACCAGCAAUGCACAAGGUACAGUUAUUUACAGAGCAAGUAAAGCCACAAGUGACCAAAAAUAAUCAGAAUUAAUACUUACGUUUCGGUGGCUGGAUCAUAGACUUCACAGGAAUUUAGGACUCUUCCAGAAACAUUGUUUCCCAAGCUUCCUCCGCACACGUAAAUGAGACCAUUCGCCUCCACCAUCCCAUGGCUGCAUCGCUGAGUCAGCAUGCUGGGCUUUGUGUGCCAGCUUUCUGUUCUUGUGUCAUAGCAUUCAAAUAAAUACAGUGCAGAAUUUCCUUAAAAAAACA
This is a long non-coding RNA of Neopsephotus bourkii (Bourke's parrot), 613 nucleotides long. RefSeq lists it as uncharacterized. The record is from RefSeq and is a predicted model, not a curated record. The transcript has 2 exons. NCBI's taxonomy places the organism in Eukaryota, Metazoa, Chordata, Aves, Psittaciformes, Psittacidae.